UUGGCUCUCGCAUCGAUGAAGAACGCAGCGAAAUGCGAUAAGUAAUGUGAAUUGCAGAAUUCAGUGAAUCAUCGAAUCUUUGAACGCACCUUGCGCUCCUUGGUAUUCCGAGGAGCAUGCCUGUUUGAGUGUCAUUAAAUUCUCAACCUUCAUUAGC
RNAcentral lists this ribosomal RNA (157 nucleotides) under Hebeloma alboerumpens. Its description in RNAcentral is "5.8S ribosomal RNA". The stretch from base 1 to 134 matches the Rfam family "5.8S ribosomal RNA", at positions 21 to 154 of the family's 154-position model. Rfam says of the family: 5.8S ribosomal RNA (5.8S rRNA) is a component of the large subunit of the eukaryotic ribosome. The record is from RNAcentral. Lineage: Eukaryota; Fungi; Basidiomycota; Agaricomycetes; Agaricales; Hymenogastraceae.